This 928-nucleotide long non-coding RNA is filed under the name Pongo abelii (Sumatran orangutan). RNAcentral describes it as "lincRNA". The record is from RNAcentral. Lineage: Eukaryota; Metazoa; Chordata; Mammalia; Primates; Hominidae.
ACGCCUGGAAAACGCUCUUCUGAGAUGAUCUGUGGAGGUCAACCCAGGAGAGAGAAGACAGGACUGAAGCACCGAAAGGGUCCUGCCGUAACGGAGCAGGAUUGUAUAGAAUAUAUAAUAGCAGUAGCAGCUCUGUUUACGGAGCAUUAACCUUACGUGGAGUUAUUUCCUGCAUUUCCUCCUUUCAUCUUUACAAGGUAGCCAUUUGGCGUUGGGAGAGAUUGGGUCUCUCCACAUUGCCUAGGCUGCUCUCCAACUUCUGAGCUCAAGUGAUCCACCUCCCUUGGCCUCCCAAAGUACUAGGAUUACAGGCGUGAGCCACCGUGCCUGGCUGAGAAGAUGGAUUUAAGACAUGUUUUGGAGGUAACAUCAUCAGGACUUCCUGAAGGAUUAGAUGUGGAAGGGAAGGAUAAGAAACAGACCAAGGAUAACUUUCAAAUGUAUGCUUAAGCAACUAGAUGGAUAAUGAUGCCACUGAGUGAGUGAAAAACUUGAUGGAAGUGGAAGAUUCAGAGUUCGUUUCUAUCUAGGUUAAUUUGAGACAUACCAGAGCAUAAGUCAAGUAAGUAAUUGAAUAUUGGAGUGGAGACUUAGUUGUCUACCGAAUUAUUAUUUUAUUUGUCGGACAUACAUCUACACUGCAUUCCUCAAAGUAAAAUUUAAGUGUGGCUCUGUGCCUAUGCUCUCCCCGGCGGAAAGUGAGCAGAAGAGGUGUGCAGUUUCCAGGCCUGGCCCAUACAGACCUCCAACAGGUGUUCCCCUGUGCUCUUACUCCUUCUGCCAACUGGAAGCAGAUGGUGACAGGCUCUGGAGAAGGCAAGGCCUGAAGAUGGGAGAUUCCUAAGUGGAGGAGAACUGUGCCUUACUGACCUAAAUAUCCACUCAGUAUUGUUAUGUGAGAAUAAAUAAACUUGUGUUGACCUUUUAC